RNAcentral lists this ribosomal RNA (253 nucleotides) under uncultured bacterium. RNAcentral describes it as "partial 16S ribosomal RNA". It matches the Rfam family "Bacterial small subunit ribosomal RNA", at positions 524 to 776 of the family's 1533-position model. The record is from RNAcentral.
UACGGAGGGUGCAAGCAUUGAUCGGAAUUACUGGGCGUAAAGGGCGCGUAGGCGGUUUUAAAAGUCAGAUGUGAAAUUCCAGGGCUCAACCAUGGAGCUGCAUUUGAGACUCUAGAACUAGAGUUCAGUUAGGGAAAACGGAAUUCCACGUGUAGCGGUGAAAUGCGUAGAUAUGUGGAAGAACACCGGUGGUGAAGACGGUUUUCUGGGCUGACACUGACGCUGAGGCGCGAAAGCAAGGGGAGCAAACAGG